GACGAACGCUGGCGGCGUGCUUAACACAUGCAAGUCGAGCGGUAAGGCCCUUUCGGGGGUACACGAGCGGCGAACGGGUGAGUAGCACGUGGGUGACCUGCCUUUAGCUCUGGGAUAAGCCUGGGAAACUGGGUCUAAUACCGGAUACGACUCCGCGGUGCAUGCUGUGGGGUGGAAAGCCUUGUGCGGCUGGAGAUGGGCCCGCGGCCUAUCAGCUUGUUGGUGGGGUGAUGGCCACCAAGGCGACGACGGUAGCCGGCCUGAGAGGGCGACCGGCCACACUGGGACUGAGACACGGCCCAGACUCCUACGGGAGGCAGCAGUGGGGAAUCUUGCGCAAUGGGCGAAAGCCUGACGCAGCGACGCCGCGUGAGGGAUGACGGCCUCGGUUGUAAC
RNAcentral lists this ribosomal RNA (396 nucleotides) under uncultured bacterium. RNAcentral's name for it is "bacterial SSU rRNA". It matches the Rfam family "Bacterial small subunit ribosomal RNA", at positions 28 to 429 of the family's 1533-position model. The record is from RNAcentral.